This 484-nucleotide ribosomal RNA is filed under the name uncultured bacterium. RNAcentral's name for it is "partial 16S ribosomal RNA". It matches the Rfam family "Bacterial small subunit ribosomal RNA", at positions 30 to 507 of the family's 1533-position model. The record is from RNAcentral.
AUUGAACGCUGGCGGCAGGCCUAACACAUGCAAGUCGAGCGGAUGAAGGGAGCUUGCUCCUGGAUUCAGCGGCGGACGGGUGAGUAAUGCCUAUGAAUCUGCCUGGUAGUGGGGGAUAACGUCCGGAAACGGGCGCUAAUACCGCAUACGUCCUUAGGGAGAAAGUUGGGGAUCUUCGGACCUCACGCUAUCAUAUGUGCCUAGGUCGGAUUAGCUAGUUGGUGGGGUAAAGUCCUACCAAGGCGACGAUCCGUAACUGGUCUGAGAGGAUGAUCAGUCACACUGGAACUGAGACACGGUCAAGACGCCUACGGGAGGCAGCAGUGGGGAAUAUUGGACAAAGGGCGAAAGCCUGAUCCAGCCAUGCCGCGUGUGUGAAGAAGGUCUUCGGAUUGUAAAGCACUUUAAGUUGGGAGGAAGGGAAGUAAGUUAAUACCUUGCUGUUUUGACGUUACCAACAGAAUAAGCACCGGCUAACUUCGUG